AUUGAACGCUGGCGGCAGGCUUAACACAUGCAAGUCGAACGAGUGGCGGACGGGUGAGUAAUGUCUGGGAAACUGCCCGAUGGCGGGGGAUAACUACUCGAAACGGUAGCUAAUACCGCAUACCAUCAGAGGUGCCUAGAUUGGAUUAGCUAGUUGGUGGGGUAAAGGCUCACCAAGGCGACGAUCCCUAGCUGGUUUGAGAGGAUGACCAGCCACACUGGAACGGAGACACGGGCCAGACUCCUACGGGAGGCAGCAGUGGGGAAUAUUGGACAAUGGGCGCAACCCUGAUACAGCCAUCCCGCGUGUAUGAAGAAGGCCUUCGGGUUGUAAAGUACUUUCAGCGGGGAGGCGGUACCCGCAGAAGAAGCACCGGCUAACUCCGUGCCAGCAGCCGCGGUAAUAC
RNAcentral lists this ribosomal RNA (406 nucleotides) under uncultured bacterium. RNAcentral's name for it is "partial 16S ribosomal RNA". It matches the Rfam family "Bacterial small subunit ribosomal RNA", at positions 30 to 526 of the family's 1533-position model. The record is from RNAcentral.